UCGGGUUUAGAGUUUAGGUUAUAGGGUUUAGAGUUGGGGAGUAGGAUUUUAAGAUAAGAUUUCAAAUUUUGAAAAAUAAAAAAAAUUUAAAUUUUUCAAAAGAUAAAAUGCUAUUUUGGUCAUUUUAGUUUUUGAGGGCUAUUUUUGUGAUAUAAACUUAGAAAGAUGCUAUUUUGGAGAUUUGCCCAUAUUACAUUUACAAAAUAUUUUUAAAUAACAUAAAAUAUAUUUUUGAAGUAAUAAAAUACUUUCUUUAUAGGGCUUUUUGCAGAAUUGACCUAUAACUUAAAGUCAAACACAAAACUAACCUCUUUUUUUUAAAAAAAAAUUGGUUUUGCCCUAUUCACCCCACAAGUUCAUAUAAUUUACGAAAAUGCCAUCAAUUUUUUUUUUCUUUUUUUCUUUCGAAAAUGACAUUUUUACUCUCUCACCCUCAUCAUCUUCAAGUAAUUAUAAGA
RNAcentral lists this long non-coding RNA (458 nucleotides) under Brassica napus (rape). RNAcentral describes it as "long non-coding RNA (BNAP_LNC017827)". The record is from RNAcentral. Lineage: Eukaryota; Viridiplantae; Streptophyta; Magnoliopsida; Brassicales; Brassicaceae.